RNAcentral lists this ribosomal RNA (440 nucleotides) under uncultured bacterium. RNAcentral's name for it is "partial 16S ribosomal RNA". It matches the Rfam family "Bacterial small subunit ribosomal RNA", at positions 338 to 795 of the family's 1533-position model. The record is from RNAcentral.
CCUACGGGAGGCAGCAGUGGGGAAUAUUGGUCAAUGGGCGAGACCCUGAUCCAGCGACGCCGCGUGAGUGAAGAAUUAUCUAGGUACUUAAAGCUCUAUCAGCAGGAGAGUAAAUGACGGUACGUGACUCAGAAUCUCUGGCUAAUUCCGUGCCAGCAGCGGCGGUAAUACGUAGGGGGCAAGCGUUAUCCGGAUGUACUGGGUGUAAAGGGAGCGUAGUCGGCAGGGCAAGUCUGGAGGGAAAUGCCGGGGCCCAACCCGGGAACUGCACUGGAAACUGGGAAGCUGGAGUGCAGGAGAGGUAAGCGGAAUUCCUGGUGUAGCGGUGAAAUGCGUAGGUAUCAGGAGGAACACCGGCGGCGAAGGCGGCUUACUGGACUGUAACUGACGUUGAGGCUCGAAGGCGUGGGGAGCAAACAGGAUUAGAUACCCCUGUAGUC